RNAcentral lists this ribosomal RNA (482 nucleotides) under uncultured bacterium. Its description in RNAcentral is "partial 16S ribosomal RNA". It matches the Rfam family "Bacterial small subunit ribosomal RNA", at positions 28 to 523 of the family's 1533-position model. The record is from RNAcentral.
AGUGAACGUUGGCGGCGUGGAUUAGGCAUGCAAGUCGAGCGAGAACCGUAGCAAUACGGGGACAGCGGCGAAAGGGACAGUAAUGUGUAGGUACCUACCUCCGGGCGCGGGAUAGCUGCGGGAAACUGCGGGUAAUACCGAAUAGAGUCUCCGGACCAAAGGUGUGAUUCCACCUGGAGAGGGGCCUGCAUUCUAUUAGCUUGUUGGCGGGGUAACGGCCCACCAAGGCGACGAUGGGUAGCGGGUGUGAGAGCACGACCCGCGUCAUUGGGACUGAGACACUGCCCAGACACCUACGGGUGGCUGCAGUCGUGAAUCUUCGGCAAUGGGCACAAGCCUGACCGAGCGACGCCGCGUGCGGGAUGAAGGCCUUCGGGUUGUAAACCGCUGUCGUAGAGGAGGAAAUGCAGGGGGGUUCUCCCCUCUGUUUGACCUAUUCUAGGAGGAAGUACGGGCUAAGUUCGUGCCAGCAGCCGCCGUAA